Molecule: long non-coding RNA, 3232 nt
Filed under: Mus musculus (house mouse)
Lineage: Eukaryota; Metazoa; Chordata; Mammalia; Rodentia; Muridae
Description: lncRNAISIR 3
Source: RNAcentral
UUUUUUUUUUACUAGUUUUAAGGGUGUACUUGCUGCUUUUUUCCUGCAGGCGGAGACAUUGUGUUGGAAAUAACCCGUGAAUGUACCCACAAGCGUUCAGUUCAAGCACAGCAGGACUUUCCGGUUCCGAUUCUGGGUUGCUUUUGCGAGUUUAUGCAGAGGGCAACUAAGGAUAUACACUACACGUCCACUGGAAGCCGAUGGUAAACAGGAGGGUGCCUUCUGAGGUGGAGAAGUGAAGCACAUAGCACAACAUCCUACAACAGCAACUUGAAACCUUUCAUGAGCUCUCAUUCAUAAUUUUCUCAUUGCUUUCCCUUCCCCACUGCAAAUUUCACGUAAAUCAGUUGACUCUAAUGCUUUUCCCCAACUCGAUCACUGGGGAAAUCAGAAGUUUAGAACAAUAUUCCUGCACAGGAGCCGGGGAAUACGGAGAUGCUGACAAAGCAGGGCUAGAACGCAGCAGUAAGGAUAGCAGAGAGGGACAGAAAGCUAUGACCAGCCCUUCCUUUGGCUCCUUGCUCCAGAGAUGGCACCAAAGCACCAGCAUGCAUGUCAGACUUUCAAUAUUAUCAAUUAAUGGCAGGUUGAUCAGGACGAAACUCCAUCUUUACCUCCAUUCUCAUUAACUUCCUCCCCUUAUUUUAUCUUUUGUUUUUCCUGUAAUUGAGAAGGUACUUGUAGUUAGAUUUAGAGCCACAUAGCUCAUAGUGAUCUCAUUUCUUGAUCCCCUAUUAUAUCUACAAAGUUCUUUUGUCCAGAUAAGCUAACUUAUAUGCAUGUCCUGGGUUAGAACUCUGAAAAGCCUCAGAAUGGGUGUGCUUCAACACAAUACUACUAUCUUGACUCACAUAGAUGUUCAUUUAUAAAGAUUCAUUUAUGUUCAUUUUGCGUUUUGUCUUAGAUUUGAUGGAUUACCACAGUGGCUGCACUGGAUUUGAAUUGUGCUUCAAGAAUAUCUCCUUGGGAGAUGACAGAGAGUAGGAGAAGCGUCUCAUCACGUGCUGGCUCUAUGCCCAUAGGCGAAACCAGCUUUCAAUCCCUGUCAGAGAAGCUCCUUUUGACAGUGUGCAGCAGUUACUGCAGAGACUUACAACUUGUCAAGAUGCAGAGAACAAAUGUCUGUGCAGUGCUCAGCCACAGCUGACUCCAAAGCUCCAGGAUGUUGUAUAAGAGGAGGAGACAGGAUUAAAUGCCUGGGGUCAGAAAGGACUGCUAUGAGACACUGUCUUCUGACGUGCCAUGCCUGGUGCAGUGAUAAACUCACAGCCUAUACGAAUGCUUACACAGAACUGCACAAGUUCAAGCCAGUCCCUAUUGCAGCAUCAAGGAGAGAGAACCCCCGAGGCCUUCCCUACUGAUUGAGAAACUGUUAGCAGUUGGUGGUGACUGAGAGGGGUGCAUGCCAUAUGGUAGGUAUGUAAGUAUGCUUGAACACUUGUGGAAUUUUUGAGACAGGUGGUCAAGCCCAGCCAAAAUAUAUGUGUCUGUAUGUGUCUAUGUGAGUGCUUGAUUUCUCGCUUUCUUUCUCUUCUUUUUUCUCUGGCGCACAAAGAGUUAACAAGUUCCAAGCUUUUUGCCUGGCUAGGGAGGGGCCCUUGAGACAGAGAGAAAUGAAGCCUUUUUGGUAAUUCCCUUGCUGUUACCAGUUUUAGUAAUUUUAUCAGAAGUAAGCAGAUUUUAAUGACAGAAUAGCAAAAUAGUUAAAUUUCCAAAGGCCAUCAACUUCUGACCCCCAGAACAGUAAGAGAGUUACAAGGCCAGAGAUCAUCAGUCUUUAGCCUUAUUUCGAUGCUGUGCCCCUCUUCAGUUCCUAAUCUCUUGCUAGGCCUGACACCCCACCCCACCCCCAGCAUGGCACAUCACCUCUCUCAGCAAGUUUUCUCCCUGUUCCAGGGCUUUGGGUCAACAUCCUCUAGGUGCAGUUCUAUAGAAGGUAUCUUCCCUUUCCUCCUCUCACACUCAGAGAGCCUCUCAUUCUUAAGUCCAUUAUAUUCUAGCUCCCCUUAGCUAGCCUCCACUUCUUCAGUAAAUCUUGUAUUCCUCAGAAGAUCUCUAGCCGUCCAAAGUAUGAUGCUGAAUGUUGGUGCUGGGGAUAAGACCUCUCAUUUGUUACUGUUGGAAUAUGCAAAAUAGUAAUUACUUUGGAAGAAUUUUGGCAGAUUUUUACAAAGAUGAACAUUGUCUUAGUAUAGACUCCAAUUAUACUCUUUGGUUGGUAUUGGGCCAACAGUGUUGAAAAUGUAUGUCAUACAAAAACCAAAGCACAGAGUUUUGUAGCAGUUUUAUUCAUUAAUCACAGAACAUUGGAAGCAACUAAGAUCUCUUGCAAAAGAGAGUAAAUAAACAAAUUGUAGAAAAUAUACAUAUCACUAUGCAGUAAUGAAUAGAAAUGAGCUAUCAUCCCACAAAGUACACAAGAAACAUUAGUGGUCUAUUGGCAGUCUUAAAAGGUACAUGCCCUUUCCACCAUCUUGGUGCCUGUGGAAGCCUGCUGGGAACAGGACUUCUAAAAGCAAGUAUGCCUGGAAGGCUGUAGUGCAAGGCCAUUUUUGCUGGUACAAGUGAGGUCUCCAAAACCAAAGAGAGCACACGGCUCUUCUUGAAAUUGAAGGCGUUUAUGCCCGAGAUGAAACGGAAUUCUACUUAGGCAAGAGAUGUGUUUGUGUGUAUAAAGCAAAAAAAUGAUACAGCGACUCCUGGAGGCAAACCAAACAAAACCAGAGUGAUCUGGGGAAAAGUAACUUGGGCCGAUGGAAACAGUGGUUUGUGCCAAAUUCUGAAGCAACCUUCCUGCAAAAGCCAUUGGACACAGAAUCCGUGUGAUGCUGUAUCCAUCCCGGAGUUAAACUAAUGGAGAGUAAAUAAAUAAAAGUAGAUUUGUGCUCUUGUUAAAAAAAAAAAAGGUACAUGCCAUAUGACUCUACUUAUGUGACAUUCUGGAGAAGGUAAAACUAUGAGGACUAUAAGACGAUGGAUGGUCACCACCAUUCAGGAAGAAGAAAGGAUAGAAUGGGGACUUGAUAGAAUAGCCAAACUACUCUGUAGAUUGUUGCAGGAUAUUUGAUCAUGCAAGAUAGAUACACAUGAAGACAGAAUGAGCCAAAGAACAAGGAGGAGAUAGAAUAUUAGAACAGAUUACCAGAGUUAGUAUGAGAAUAAGCAGAACAAUUCAGUAAGCACCUGAGAAAAGCCAGAUUGAACCAGUCAGCUUGGACAGGAGUUUUAAACC